This 621-nucleotide ribosomal RNA is filed under the name uncultured bacterium. RNAcentral's name for it is "bacterial SSU rRNA". It matches the Rfam family "Bacterial small subunit ribosomal RNA", at positions 338 to 951 of the family's 1533-position model. The record is from RNAcentral.
CCUACGGGAGGCAGCAGUGGGGAAUUUUGGACAAUGGGCGCAAGCCUGAUCCAGCAAUGCCGCGUGCAGGAUGAAGGCCUUCGGGUUGUAAACUGCUUUUGUACGGAACGAAACGGCCCUUUCUAAUACAAGGGGCUAAUGACGGUACCGUAAGAAUAAGCACCGGCUAACUACGUGCCAGCAGCCGCGGUAAUACGUAGGGUGCGAGCGUUAAUCGGAAUUACUGGGCGUAAAGCGUGCGCAGGCGGUUAUAUAAGACAGAUGUGAAAUCCCCGGGCUCAACCUGGGACCUGCAUUUGUGACUGUAUAGCUAGAGUACGGUAGAGGGGGAUGGAAUUCCGCGUGUAGCAGUGAAAUGCGUAGAUAUGCGGAGGAACACCGAUGGCGAAGGCAAUCCCCUGGACCUGUACUGACGCUCAUGCACGAAAGCGUGGGGAGCAAACAGGAUUAGAUACCCUGGUAGUCCACGCCCUAAACGAUGUCAACUGGUUGUUGGGUCUUCACUGACUCAGUAACGAAGCUAACGCGUGAAGUUGACCGCCUGGGGAGUACGGCCGCAAGGUUGAAACUCAAAUGAAUUGACGGCUGAGACGUGCCGACGGACGACGACGAGGGAGGAGG